GGACCCGCACAAGCGGUGGAGCAUGUGGUUUAAUUCGAUGCAACGCGAAAAACCUUACCUACUCUUGACAUACUUGGGAGCUCUUGUAAUGAGAGUGUGCCUUUUGGAACCAAGAUACAGGUGCUGCAUGGCUGUCGUCAGCUCGUGUCGUGAGAUGUUCCGUUAAGUCGGAUAACGAGCGCAACCCUUACCCUUAUUUGCCAGCGAUUCGGUCGGGAACUAUAAGGGGACUGCCGGUGAUAAACCGGAGGAAGGUGAGGACGACGUCAAGUCAUCAUGGCCCUUACGAGUAGGGCUACACACGUGCUACAAUGGGGAAUACAGACGGACGCUAAGCCGCGAGGUGGUGCUAAUCCUAGAAAGUCGUUCUCAGUUCGGAUUGGAGUCUGCAACUCGACUCCAUGAAGUCGGAAUCGCUAGUAAUCG
RNAcentral lists this ribosomal RNA (426 nucleotides) under uncultured bacterium. RNAcentral describes it as "bacterial SSU rRNA". It matches the Rfam family "Bacterial small subunit ribosomal RNA", at positions 917 to 1344 of the family's 1533-position model. The record is from RNAcentral.